AGUAUCUCAUUAUCAGACCAUCCAAAACUCUUGAAAAUUUUAAUCUUCCUAUCCACGGUACACUGCUUUUGCGAGGCUAAUGUAUGAAAUCCAUAAGGAAACAUAGGAGAGUCAAGCGGAACUCGAAAAUCAUUCUCCACCCUAUGCAACAAACCCUUGAUCCACUCAGGCUUUUGUGCAAAAUACCUAGGAUUUCUAAGCAGGAGUGUUUUCAUUCCCUCAUCAGGAACACCACAAUUUUUCAACAACAAUAUAUUAGUCUCCAUAAUAUUAUGAGCACCAAAAGUAAGCAACCAAGGAGCUCUCUUUAACGCCUUAACUACAUUUUCAUCACUACCCAAAG
Molecule: unclassified non-coding RNA, 343 nt
Filed under: Hevea brasiliensis (rubber tree)
Lineage: Eukaryota; Viridiplantae; Streptophyta; Magnoliopsida; Malpighiales; Euphorbiaceae
Source: RNAcentral